This 240-nucleotide ribosomal RNA is filed under the name uncultured Bacteroidota bacterium. RNAcentral's name for it is "uncultured Bacteroidetes bacterium partial 16S ribosomal RNA". It matches the Rfam family "Bacterial small subunit ribosomal RNA", at positions 796 to 1041 of the family's 1533-position model. The record is from RNAcentral. Lineage: Bacteria; Pseudomonadati; Bacteroidota.
CACACUGUAAACGAUGAUAACUCGCUGCCGGCGAUACAUUGUUGGUGGCCAAGCGAAAGCAUUAAGUUAUCCACCUGGGGAGUACGACCGCAAGGUUGAAACUCAAAGGAAUUGACGGGGGCCCGCACAAGCGGAGGAACAUGUGGUUUAAUUCGAUGAUACGCGAGGAACCUUACCCGGGCUCGAACGGUGCAUGAAUAUAUGAGAGAUUGUAUAGUCUUCGGACAUGCAUCGAGGUGC